RNAcentral lists this ribosomal RNA (359 nucleotides) under Pseudomonadota bacterium. RNAcentral's name for it is "bacterial SSU rRNA". It matches the Rfam family "Bacterial small subunit ribosomal RNA", at positions 1 to 360 of the family's 1533-position model. Lineage: Bacteria; Pseudomonadati; Pseudomonadota. The record is from RNAcentral.
CAAGUGAAGAGUUUGAUCCUGGCUCAGAUUGAACGCUGGCGGCGUGCUUAACACAUGCAAGUCGAGCGGUAACAGGUGUAGCAAUACAUGCUGACGAGCGGCGAACGGGUGAGUAAUGCUUCGGAAUCUACCCAUUGGCGGGGAAUAACUAGCCGAAAGGUUAGCUAAUACCGCAUAAGCCCUACGGGGGAAAGCAGGGGAUCGCAAGACCUUGCACCGAUGGAUGAGCCGAAGUCGGAUUAGCUAGUUGGUAGGGUAACGGCCUACCAAGGCGACGAUCCGUAGCUGGUCUGAGAGGACGACCAGCCACACUGGGACUGAGACACGGCCCAGACUCCUACGGGAGGCAGCAGUGGGGA